ACUCCUGUAGCCCAAUGGGAAGAGGCGCUGGUUUCAAACUCCAGAGGUUGUGGGUUCGACUCCCACCAGGAGUA
RNAcentral lists this transfer RNA (74 nucleotides) under Acaryochloris marina MBIC11017. RNAcentral describes it as "tRNA-Leu (CAA) (tRNA-Leu-CAA-2-1)". It matches the Rfam family "tRNA". Rfam says of the family: Transfer RNA (tRNA) molecules are approximately 80 nucleotides in length. Their secondary structure includes four short double-helical elements and three loops (D, anti-codon, and T loops). Further hydrogen bonds mediate the characteristic L-shaped molecular structure. tRNAs have two regions of fundamental functional importance: the anti-codon, which is responsible for specific mRNA codon recognition, and the 3' end, to which the tRNAs corresponding amino acid is attached (by aminoacyl-tRNA synthetases). tRNAs cope with the degeneracy of the genetic code in two manners: having more than one tRNA (with a specific anti-codon) for a particular amino acid; and 'wobble' base-pairing, i.e. permitting non-standard base-pairing at the 3rd anti-codon position. Lineage: Bacteria; Bacillati; Cyanobacteriota; Cyanophyceae; Acaryochloridales; Acaryochloridaceae. The record is from Rfam by way of RNAcentral. RNAcentral also lists the same sequence under 1 other name.